UUUGGCACACAUACUCUGUUUCCAAACCUCAAUAUACCAUCUUUUGAUAGUCUAAAUUUGGCCUAAGUCCCUUACUGACAUCUUUCAUAAUCGACCUCAAGGUAAGAUCAAACUGCUGAGCUUCUCUAAUUUUUUGUAUCAAAAUAGGUUGUACUUUUAUAUUGGUUAGGUAUCCUCCUGAUCUCUUAUGUCGGGCAUUCAGAUUUAGUUUCUGGAACUCCUCU
RNAcentral lists this long non-coding RNA (224 nucleotides) under Carica papaya (papaya). Its description in RNAcentral is "long non-coding RNA (CPAP_LNC003098)". The record is from RNAcentral. Lineage: Eukaryota; Viridiplantae; Streptophyta; Magnoliopsida; Brassicales; Caricaceae.